AGCCUUUGUGUUGCCCAUUCACUUUUGAAAACUAGUGAAUGUGGUGUCAAAAAAGGCGUAAACUAAACACUUUGCAGCCUUUUCCUGCCCUUGAAUUUGAUGUCUUUGGUGUCAGAGCUGCGUAAGUAACAGAU
Ailuropoda melanoleuca (giant panda) is the source of this 134-nucleotide small nucleolar RNA. Ensembl annotates it as small nucleolar RNA, H/ACA box 13. NCBI's taxonomy places the organism in Eukaryota, Metazoa, Chordata, Mammalia, Carnivora, Ursidae. The record is from Ensembl.